This 703-nucleotide ribosomal RNA is filed under the name uncultured bacterium. RNAcentral's name for it is "bacterial SSU rRNA". It matches the Rfam family "Bacterial small subunit ribosomal RNA", at positions 61 to 753 of the family's 1533-position model. The record is from RNAcentral.
GUCGAGCGGUAACACAGAGGAGCUUGCUCCUUGGGUGACGAGCGGCGGACGGGUGAGUAAUGCCUGGGGAUCUGCCCGAUAGAGGGGGAUAACUACGGGAAACUGUAGCUAAUACCGCAUAACGUCUACGGACCAAAGUGGGGGCUCUUCGGACCUCAUGCUAUCGGAUGAACCCAGGUGGGAUUAGCUAGUUGGUGAGGUAAUGGCUCACCAAGGCGACGAUCUCUAACUGGUUUGAGAGAAUGACCAGUCACACUGGAGCUGAGACACGGUCCAGACUCCUACGGGAGGCAGCAGUGGGGAAUAUUGCACAAUGGGCGCAAGCCUGAUGCAGCCAUGCCGCGUGUGUGAAGAAGGCCUUCGGGUUGUAAAGCACUUUCAGCGGGGAGGAAGGGUCACUAGUUAAUACCUAGUGGCAUUGACGUUACUCGCAGAAGAAGCACCGGCUAACUCCGUGCCAGCAGCCGCGGUAAUACGGAGGGUGCAAGCGUUAAUCGGAAUUACUGGGCGUAAAGCGCACGCAGGCGGUUUGUUAAGUCAGAUGUGAAAUCCCCGAGCUCAACUUGGGAACUGCAUUUGAAACUGGCAAGCUAGAGUCUUGUAGAGGGGGGUAGAAUUCCAGGUGUAGCGGUGACAUGCGUAGAGAUCUGGAGGAAUACCGGUGGCGAAGGCGGCCCCCUGGACAAAGACUGACGCUCAGGUG